Neofelis nebulosa (Clouded leopard) is the source of this 1411-nucleotide non-coding RNA. The record is from the annotation of a RefSeq genome assembly. Lineage: Eukaryota; Metazoa; Chordata; Mammalia; Carnivora; Felidae.
CUCCCUUGAAAGCCUCCUUCCCCGUCCCUCAGCACACAUUCCCAGAAGAGCCCUCCGUCCGCCCUGCCCCUGCCAUGAGCCUCGGCCUCCUGUGCUGUGUGGCCCUGGGUCUCCUGCAGGCAGGGCCCGUGAAUGCUGGCAUCACUCAGACCCCCAGAUUCCAGAUCCUGGGGACAGGACAGAACAUGACGCUGAGAUGUGAACAGGACAAGGACCACGACUACAUGUCCUGGUAUCGACAAGACCCUGGACAUGGGCUGCGGCUGAUCCAUUACUCUGUCAGUGCUGGUAUCACCGAGAGAGGAGAAAUCUCCAACGGAUACAACGUCUCUAGGUCAAAUACAAAGAACUUCCCUCUCAUGCUGGCGUCUGCAACUCCCUCCCAGACAUCUGUGUACUUCUGUGCCAGCAGUGAUGGCACAGCACUGCACAGCUGUCUCCUCUCUGCACAAAAAAAGGCAGGGGGAGGGCCUGCACCCCGGGACUCAGCAGAGCCCUCGGCACACUCCCAGCACCGCCCCCAACCCGAGCCCCAGAGCCCCGAGGGGCCCAAGCGCCCAGAGUGAACCUUGGUGUGGGCUGAGGUCCGUCUGCAAGGCACUGACAGCCUGGCCUGGACCCGACCAGACCUCAGGCGGCCGUGUCUCCACCUCUGGUCUGUCUGUGCUCUGAGCCGCCUGGCUGGCUGCGAAGGUGCUUCCCCAGCUCUGACUAUUCUACCCCCUGCCUAAGUCUGACGCUUCCGGGAUGGAAAUUGUUUGCACUGGGUAAACAACACAAUGUGUUAUUAACAAUGUGUUAUGAAAUCAGAUCUAACUAGAUGCCCCCCUCCUUGUCUCCCCCUGGCACCUCAGUGCAUUGCUCUCCGAUGCCCAGGUAUGAACCCUGCUCCCCCCCAGCCUUUCCAUAGGGGCAGCCCCAACAAGGCCCUGCUGGGUCUGUCCUCUAGCUGCCUCCGGGCCCAGCUCGCACAGCUCGCUGGCCCUCGGCUCUGGCCACACUGCUAGGCCCUCAAUUCUGCCAUGUCCCUUCCCAUCUCAGGGACAUCCAGGGCUAGUUCCUCUGCACUGGGCAUGAGUCCUUCCUUCUUGCAAUGGCUGACGCCCACUCAUGUUCCUGUUCAAGGUCACCCUGGGUGGCCUGCCCUUUCUGGGCACACCUGUUUCCAGGGGAAUGGCGGACACAGCUGGUGUAUCUCUGUUCUAGAUUUUCCAGACUUUUCUCUCAAUCGGUUUUAAAGUACUGGUAUCAUAAGGACAAACUUCUCUGACAACCAUACAUCGAAGGCUGAGCUGCUUCAGACUCUGUGUCUCCCUCUCUCUCUGCCCCUCCCCUGCUCACACUCUCUCUCUCUCUCAAAAAUAAAUAUUAAAAAAAAAAAAUUAAAAAUAAAUAAAUAAAUUUCAAAAAC